This 789-nucleotide ribosomal RNA is filed under the name uncultured Glomus. RNAcentral describes it as "SSU rRNA". It matches the Rfam family "Eukaryotic small subunit ribosomal RNA", at positions 314 to 1114 of the family's 1831-position model. Lineage: Eukaryota; Fungi; Glomeromycota; Glomeromycetes; Glomerales; Glomeraceae. The record is from RNAcentral.
AUCAACUUUCGAUUGGUAGGAUAGAGGCCUACCAUGGUGGUAACGGGUAACGGGGUGUUAGGGCACGACACCGGAGAGGGAGCCUGAGAAACGGCUACCACAUCCAAGGAUGGCAGCAGGCGCGCAAAUUACCCAAUCCCAACACGGGGAGGUAGUGACAAUAAAUAACAAUACAGGGUUCUUUUGGAUCUUGUAAUUGGAAUGAGUACAAUUUAAAUCUCUUAACGAGGAACAAUUGGAGGGCAAGUCUGGUGCCAGCAGCCGCGGUAAUUCCAGCUCCAAUAGCGUAUAUUAAAGUUGCUGCAGUUAAAAAGCUCGUAGUUGAAUUUCGGAACCAAUAUGUUGGUUGUGCCUCGGUACGUACUGGCAUUGUUGGUUUCUCCCUUCUGACGAACUAUGAUGUCAUUAAUUUGGUGUCAUGGGGAAUCAGGACUGUUACUUUGAAAAAAUUAGAGUGUUUAAAGCAGGCUCACGCUUGAAUACAUUAGCAUGGAAUAAUGAAAUAGGACGUUUGAUUCUAUUUUGUUGGUUUCUAGGAUUGACGUAAUGAUUAAUAGGGAUAGUUGGGGGCAUUAGUAUUCAAUUGUCAGAGGUGAAAUUCUUGGAUUUAUUGAAGACUAACUACUGCGAAAGCAUUUGCCAAGGAUGUUUUCAUUAAUCAAGAACGAAAGUUAGGGGAUCGAAGACGAUCAGAUACCGUCGUAUAAACUAUGCCGACUAGGGAUCGGAUGAUGUUAAUUUUUUAAUGACUCAUUCGGCGCCUUACGGGAAACCAAAGUGUUUGGGUUC